UGACCUCAAAUCAGGUAGGACUACCCGCUGAACUUAAGCAUAUCAAUAAGCGGAGGAAAAGAAACUAACAAGGAUUCCCCUAGUAACUGCGAGUGAAGCGGGAAAAGCUCAAAUUUAAAAUCUGUCAGUCUUUGGCUGUCCGAGUUGUAAUCUAGAGAAGUGUUGUCGGCGCUGGACCGUGUACAAGUCUCCUGGAAUGGAGCGUCAUAGAGGGUGAGAAUCCCGUCUUUGACACGGACUGCCAGGGCUUUGUGAUGCGCUCUCGAAGAGUCGAGUUGUUUGGGAAUGCAGCUCAAAAUGGGUGGUAAAUUCCAUCUAAAGCUAAAUAUUGGCGAGAGACCGAUAGCGAACAAGUACCGUGAGGGAAAGAUGAAAAGAACUUUGGAAAGAGAGUUAAACAGUACGUGAAAUUGCUGAAAGGGAAACGCUUGAAGUCAGUCAUGUUGUCCAGGGAUCAACCUUGCUUUUGCUUGGUGUACUUUCUGGUUGACGGGUCAGCAUCAAUUUUGACCAUUGGAAAAAGAUUGAGGGAAUGUGGCAUCCUUGGAUGUGUUAUAGCCCUUGGUUGCAUACAAUGGUUANGGUUGAGAACCCGGCCCCCCCGGGCCC
RNAcentral lists this ribosomal RNA (609 nucleotides) under Cortinarius vanduzerensis. Its description in RNAcentral is "eukaryotic LSU rRNA". It matches the Rfam family "Eukaryotic large subunit ribosomal RNA", at positions 1 to 610 of the family's 3401-position model. Lineage: Eukaryota; Fungi; Basidiomycota; Agaricomycetes; Agaricales; Cortinariaceae. The record is from RNAcentral.